AGACCCGAAACCCGGUGAUCUAGCCAUGGGCAGGUUGAAGGUUGGGUAACACUAACUGGAGGACCGAACCGACUAAUGUUGAAAAAUUAGCGGAUGACCUGUGGCUGGGGGUGAAAGGCCAAUCAAACCGGGAGAUAGCUGGUUCUCCCCGAAAGCUAUUUAGGUAGCGCCUCGUGAAUUCAUCUCCGGGGGUAGAGCACUGUUUCGGCUAGGGGGCCAUCCCGGCUUACCAACCCGAUGCAAACUGCGAAUACCGGAGAAUGUUAUCACGGGAGACACACGGCGGGUGCUAACGUCCGUCGUGAAGAGGGAAACAACCCAGACCGCCAGCUAAGGUCCCAAAGUCAUGGUUAAGUGGGAAACGAUGUGGGAAGGCCCAGACAGCCAGGAUGUUGGCUUAGAAGCAGCCAUCAUUUAAAGAAAGCGUAAUAGCUCACUGGUCGAGUCGGCCUGCGCGGAAGAUGUAACGGGGCUAAACCAUGCACCGAAGCUGCGGCAGCGAACGUAUCACUUAAAGCGAUUCAGCGGGUUACGAUUGACGGAGCGAAGCGACGUCAAAGCGUAUACAAAGUCGAGUCGGUUUAAGGAUACGUUCGUUGGGUAGGGGAGCGUUCUGUAAGCCUGUGAAGGUGGCCUGUGAGGGUUGCUGGAGGUAUCAGA
RNAcentral lists this ribosomal RNA (660 nucleotides) under Salmonella enterica subsp. enterica serovar Mikawasima. RNAcentral's name for it is "partial 23S ribosomal RNA". It matches the Rfam family "Bacterial large subunit ribosomal RNA", at positions 711 to 1286 of the family's 2925-position model. The record is from RNAcentral. Lineage: Bacteria; Pseudomonadati; Pseudomonadota; Gammaproteobacteria; Enterobacterales; Enterobacteriaceae.